RNAcentral lists this ribosomal RNA (433 nucleotides) under uncultured bacterium. Its description in RNAcentral is "bacterial SSU rRNA". It matches the Rfam family "Bacterial small subunit ribosomal RNA", at positions 354 to 796 of the family's 1533-position model. The record is from RNAcentral.
GUCGAGAAUCUUCGGCAAUGGGCGCAAGCCUGACCGAGCGACGCCGCGUGGAGGAUGAAGGCCUUCGGGUUGUAAACUCCUGUCGAGGGGGAGGAAGGGGAAACCUUGACCGAUCCCUGGAGGAAGCACGGGCUAAGUUCGUGCCAGCAGCCGCGGUAAGACGAACCGUGCGAACGUUAUUCGGAAUCACUGGGCUUAAAGCGCGUGUAGGCGGAUGGGAACGUCGGUAGUUGAAAGCCCCCGGCUCAACCGGGGAAGUGGUGCCGAAACGACCCGUCUGGAGGGACGUAGGGGGAGCUGGAACUUCCGGUGGAGCGGUGAAAUGCGUUGAGAUCGGAAGGAACGCCCGUGGCGAAAGCGAGCUCCUGGACGUCUGCUGACGCUGAGACGCGAAAGCUAGGGUAGCGAACGGGAUUAGAAACCCUAGUAGUCC